This 265-nucleotide ribosomal RNA is filed under the name uncultured archaeon. Its description in RNAcentral is "partial 16S ribosomal RNA". It matches the Rfam family "Archaeal small subunit ribosomal RNA", at positions 717 to 982 of the family's 1478-position model. The record is from RNAcentral.
ACACGACUACAUUAGAUACCCGGGUAGUCCUAGCCGUAAACGAUACUCGCUAGGUGUCGGCCACGGUGCGACCGUUGUCGGUGCCGUAGGGAAGCCGUGAAGCGAGCCACCUGGGAAGUACGGCCGCAAGGCUGAAACUUAAAGGAAUUGGCGGGGGAGCACAACAACGGGUGGAGCUUGCGGUUUAAUUGGAUUCAACGCCGGAAACCUUACCGGGACCGACAGCAACAUGAAGGCCAAGCUGAAGACUUUGCCGGAUUAGCUG